GAUUACACCGCAUUGCGGUAUCAACGCGCCCUUAGCUCAGUUGGAUAGAGCAACGACCUUCUAAGUCGUGGGCCGCAGGUUCGAAUCCUGCAGGGCGCGCCAUUACAAUUCAAUCAGUUACGCCUUCUUUAUAUCCUCCAUAAUUUCAGAGUGGGACAUAUUUGGGACAUUAUCACCAAA
This 180-nucleotide transfer RNA is filed under the name Escherichia coli. The stretch from base 26 to 99 matches the Rfam family "tRNA". The record is from RNAcentral. Lineage: Bacteria; Pseudomonadati; Pseudomonadota; Gammaproteobacteria; Enterobacterales; Enterobacteriaceae.